GACGAACGCUGGCGGCGUGCUUAACACAUGCAAGUCGAACGGAAAGGCCCCUUUGGGGGUACUCGAGUGGCGAACGGGUGAGUAACACGUGAGUAACCUGCCCUUGACUUCGGGAUAACUUCAGGAAACUGGGGCUAAUACCGGAUAGGAAUCCUUGCUGCAUGGUGGGGGUUGGAAAGCUUCGGCGGUUUUGGAUGGACUCGCGGCUUAUCAGCCUGUUGGUGGGGUAGUGGCUUACCAAGGCUUUGACGGGUAGCCGGCCUGCGAGGGCGACCGGCCACAUUGGGACUGAGAUACGGCCCAGACUCCUACGGGAGGCAGCAGUGGGGAAUAUUGCACAAUGGGCGGAAGCCUGAUGCAGCAACGCCGCGUGCGGGAUGACGGCCUUCGGGUUGUAAACCGCUUUCAGCAGGGGCGAAGCUUGUGGUGACGGUACCUGCAGAAGAAGCACCGGCUAACUACGUG
RNAcentral lists this ribosomal RNA (465 nucleotides) under uncultured bacterium. Its description in RNAcentral is "partial 16S ribosomal RNA". It matches the Rfam family "Bacterial small subunit ribosomal RNA", at positions 28 to 507 of the family's 1533-position model. The record is from RNAcentral.